UUUCACGGGGAGGGCAACACAUUUUGUUACUUUGGUCUAAACACAAUAAUCAACUGUGUCCUUCCUCAAACUCAAAUGUUACUGACACAAACUUCUCAGGAGUCUCGGGAGUCAGGGAGGGGCUGCAAGUGGGGAUAAAGUGGGAGGACUCCUGUCUCCUGUAGAAGAGGUGCCGCACAGCUUUUACUAGCCUGCUGACUCACCUUUGCAAUGCAAACAACCCUCACCACCCCAUGCACCACCGCCUGGAACUUCUAAGAAGGAUGUCAUCAGGCCCCAGUACUGUGGCGGUGGACUUCUGGUCCGGAGAACUGUGGGAAAUGAGUUUCUAUUUUUAGCACCUGUCCUCUUCUGUUAUAGCAACAGAGACCAACCGAAACAGAGUUUCAACUAACGACCUUAUCUUCAAACUGGAAACAGAGUUUCAACAAACGACCGUGUCUUCAAACUGGAGGAAACAUGAACAGUAUAUGCUUUCCAGAGAUGUUGCUGUCAUCAAAAAUGGAGAAAGGAGAAAGAGAAGGACCUACUCCAGGCUGAAUGGGGCCAAGGAGGUGUGACAACUAAGUGUGCAUCGCUCCUAGAUCUGGUCACCCUGGACAGCAAGAAAGCAUGGUAGCUGGGACAAACCAGCCAGCUCUGGACAUAAACCACUCGACUCUGUGUAGUUCCUGCUGUACAGCUGAAAUGAUAGCCAUGCAGACCUUCAAGGGAUUGGGACCCUCUACAGACAAUGUCUGUCAGCCACGCCUGUUCCCUGCAGUGUGAGAGGCUUGUCCAUUUUAUGGCUGCUGAGAACUGACUGAUGACGCUCCCUUCCCUGUAGAUGCAUUAGACUCUCGUCAGAAAGGGUGCUGACUGGAGGGGCACCUCACCACGCAUGUCCUACGUCGUAAUUCUCAAUAGCUGCAGCCCCAGCCCCGCUCACUGCUUUCCGUAGUGUGGCCAUUCUGACUCUGUAGCUCCAGCGUAGGAAACAAAGUCUUGUCUGUGCAUGAAUCCAGCUGAACACAUCUGGUCCAUGUUGGUCAACUUGAAUAAAAGCCCUAGGCCUGCAUCACUGGCUUGUAACUCCGCUCAGUGGAAUACAUCUCAGCAAGUCUAUCUGUGCCUCAGUUUCCUUACCUGUUAUGACAACGAUGGGGCCCGGGGGGAAAGAACGCCCAGUCAAUAAAGUGCUGGCCACAAAAGCAUCAGGACUAGGUAGGAUUCAGUUCCCAGAACCCACAACGGAAGGCCAGUCAUGGUGGCACUUGUUUGAGAUGACAGUUCUGGGAAGGCAUUGAUGCAUGGAACCCUGUGGCCUCUUUCUCCAAAGCCCCACUCCUGGAAGGUACCUGACCUUGUUCACAAGUGACCUUGCUUACAAGUGUCUAUGGCCUAAGGUGGGAAAAGCUAGGAUGAUGACUACAGCCACAGGGUGUAGAGUUAGAGAGGUCCUUCAUCAGAGAGGUCCAUGGAGACAUUCUUAGCCAUGAAGAGUGUCACUACCUCACUUGUCUCUGUGGAGGAGUAGUGCCCACCUCCAGGGGCACAGAGUGAGGCUGGGCAAGGCCUAAGUAGAACCCUAAACCCUAGGCCAAGAUUGUAGUGCCUUCUUGAUGUCUGGGCACCAUCUAGUGUUGAGUAAGAGUAACUGAACCUCUAUCAUUGCAGCCAUGGAUAUAAACCACAGGUCUGUCAUACCUAUGGGCUCCAAUCAGAGCAAUACCUCUUUGUAGGCAUGGCUCCUGGGCCAUGGUCCCUUUGUGACAACCCAGAGGUCAGGUUCCACUGCCUUUUAGGGGAACAGGAGCCCGCUCUCUGAAUUCUUCAGCAACGUGUGAAGUCAGAAGUUCCAGAUUCUACUUCCAAGGCUCCUCAUAGCCCUGAGUGUGAGGACCUGAGCCCCUGUCAAGAGUUCUCCUCUUCUUAUUUUUAACUUAUUUUACUCCACGGAUCCCCAGAGAAACAGCAACAGAAGAUAUAAAAGACAGGACGGGCAGCCCUGCGUUUGGCCGUGCAUAUGUAUUUGCUAAAGGAAUCACUUCUUCCCAGCUCACAUUUUAUCUUUCCUUCUUUCCAAAUGCCCACAAUGUUCUACACAUGGUACUUAAUAUCCAAGAAUAGAAAGGCAGCAGAGAAUACAUAGGCUCUGCCUCGAGGGGCAAAACCAGCUGAAAAGAAAGGCUCUGACUGGGGAGAGAAGCGGAUGUGUUCAAUCUUUGAUAUCAUCAUCAGCAGGAUCCACCCAGCCCUGUUACAA
This 2245-nucleotide small RNA is filed under the name Rattus norvegicus (Norway rat). Its description in RNAcentral is "uncharacterized LOC102554187". Lineage: Eukaryota; Metazoa; Chordata; Mammalia; Rodentia; Muridae. The record is from RNAcentral.